CAGAGAAUAGUUUAAUUAAAAUGUCAGCUUUGGGAGUUGGUGAUAAAGGUUUAAUCCCUUUUUCUCUGA
This 69-nucleotide transfer RNA is filed under the name Tyrannus savana (Fork-tailed flycatcher). RNAcentral's name for it is "tRNA-Pro". It matches the Rfam family "tRNA". Rfam says of the family: Transfer RNA (tRNA) molecules are approximately 80 nucleotides in length. Their secondary structure includes four short double-helical elements and three loops (D, anti-codon, and T loops). The record is from RNAcentral. Lineage: Eukaryota; Metazoa; Chordata; Aves; Passeriformes; Tyrannidae.